Molecule: unclassified non-coding RNA, 336 nt
Filed under: Nitrosomonas halophila
Lineage: Bacteria; Pseudomonadati; Pseudomonadota; Betaproteobacteria; Nitrosomonadales; Nitrosomonadaceae
Description: Long range pseudoknot
Source: RNAcentral
ACCGACGAAGGCGACUACAACAUCAAGCUACGUAAUUUGGUCCAUUUCUUGGAAGAAGGGGAUAAAGUUAAAAUCACGCUUCGCUUUCGAGGUCGAGAAAUGGCACACCAGGAGUUUGGUGUCAGGCUGCUGGAAAGGGUGCGGGAAGAUCUUGACGAGCAUGCAAUCGUGGAGCAAUUUCCUCGACUGGAAGGUCGGCAGAUGGUUAUGGUGCUGGCACCCAAAAAGAAAGAAGUGAAAACCGGUAAAUCCAAAGAAAACGAAACCGAACUAAAAACUGGCUCCAAGAACGAAUUGACAUCCUAGUAACCAAGUGAAUAGACGGUUCUUGGUGAU